MicroRNA precursor from Oryza sativa Japonica Group (Japanese rice), 208 nucleotides. It matches the Rfam family "MIR812 microRNA precursor family". The record is from Rfam. Lineage: Eukaryota; Viridiplantae; Streptophyta; Magnoliopsida; Poales; Poaceae.
AAAAAAAACAAACCCUGGUUUCCAUGUCCAACAUUUGACCACCCGUUUUAUUUAAAAAAAUUAUAAAAAUAAAUUAAAAAGAUAAGUCACACAUAAAAUAUUAAUCAUGUUUUAUCAUCUAACAACAAUAAAAAUACUAAUUAUAAAAAAAUUUCAUAUAAGACGAACAGUCAAACGUUGAGCAUGGAAACCUAGGGUUUGUCUUUUU